RNAcentral lists this ribosomal RNA (253 nucleotides) under uncultured bacterium. Its description in RNAcentral is "partial 16S ribosomal RNA". It matches the Rfam family "Bacterial small subunit ribosomal RNA", at positions 524 to 776 of the family's 1533-position model. The record is from RNAcentral.
UACGUAGGGUGCAGGCGUUAAUCGGAAUUACUGGGCGUAAAGCGUGCGCAGGCGGUCUUUUAAGUCAGAUGUGAAAUCCCCGGGCUUAACCUGGGAACUGCGUUUGAAACUGGAAGGCUUGAGUGUGGCAGAGGGGGGUGGAAUUCCACGUGUAGCAGUGAAAUGCGUAGAGAUGUGGAGGAACACCAAUGGCGAAGGCAGCACUCUGGGACGUGACUGACGCUGAGACGCGAAAGCGUGGGGAGCAAACAGG